This 519-nucleotide ribosomal RNA is filed under the name uncultured eukaryote. RNAcentral describes it as "SSU rRNA". It matches the Rfam family "Eukaryotic small subunit ribosomal RNA", at positions 1161 to 1699 of the family's 1831-position model. The record is from RNAcentral.
AGGGCACCACCAGGAGUGGAGCCUGCGGCUUAAUUUGACUCAACACGGGAAAACUCACCCGGCCCGGACACUGGAAGGAUUGACAGAUUGGGAGCUUUUUCUUGAUUCAGUGGGUGGUGGUGCAUGGCCGUUCUUAGUUGGUGGAGUGAUUUGUCUGGUUAAUUCCGAUAACGAACGAGACUCUAGCCUACUAAAUAGAUCGUCGGCUUACAAACGCCGGCGAGACUUCUUAGAGGGACAGGCGGUGAUUCAACCGCACGAAACAGAGCAAUAACAGGUCUGUGAUGCCCUUAGAUGUCCGGGGCCGCACGCGCGCUACACUGAAGUGAUCAGCGUGCUUUUUCAACCUACUCUGUCAAGAGUGGGGAACCCAAUGAACCUUCUUCGUGAUUGGGAUAGGGGAUUGUAAUUAUUCCCCUUGAACGAGGAAUUCCCAGUAAGCGCGAGUCAUAAGCUCGCGUUGAUUACGUCCCUGCCCUUUGUACACACCGCCCGUCGCUACUACCGAUUGAAUGUUUU